CAGUAGCCACGGUAAUACGUAGGGUGCAAGCGUUAAUCGGAAUUACUGGGCGUAAAGCGUGCGCAGGCGGUGUUGUAAGACUGAUGUGAAAUCCCCGGGCUCAACCUGGGAACUGCAUUGGUGACUGCAACGCUGGAGUGCGGCAGAGGGGGAUGGAAUUCCGCGUGUAGCAGUGAAAUGCGUAGAUAUGCGGAGGAACACCGAUGGCGAAGGCAAUCCCCUGGGCCUGCACUGACGCUCAUGCACGAAAGCGUGGGGAGCAAACGGGAUUAGAUACCCCCGUAGUCCCUGUCUCUUAUAA
Molecule: ribosomal RNA, 301 nt
Filed under: uncultured bacterium
Lineage: Bacteria
Description: partial 16S ribosomal RNA
Rfam family: Bacterial small subunit ribosomal RNA
Source: RNAcentral